ACCAGCAGCCCGGGAGCUGCUCCUCGCCAACGACCCGCUGCGAUCAUUCGGCGCCCGCUUGUCCCCCCUCGGCGGCAGCAGCAGCACCCCAAGCUUGGGAAUUGCAUUGUUGCGGGCUGUAUGUGUGCGCGCGCAGGAGAGAGAUUGCUACGGAGGCAUCAACCUGUAGGCUGAGAUUUCUUUUGCGGCAGCUACCUGUUUGGAAAGCGCUUUGCGGGUGCAGCAGGAAAAGCGCACAGAGACUUACGCAACCCCUCCUCAAUCCGGAGGCAGCCAAGUGAACUAGGUCUCCGGCCCCGGCUCAGAGCAACCUUUCUGGGGGAGGGCUCCCCAUCCCGGCUGCUGGCUGGAUUCGGACGAAGAGGGAAUCAGGCAGCGGGAGGUGAGAGCCCAAGUGAAGGCAAGCGGCUUUGCAAGGCAGCACAAACCAGGAGCUGCACCGCGGCCCGCUAGUACCUACACUUCCCCGGGAUAUCAGGGUACAUAGAGUUGCUCUGAAUGGGAUAAGCUCUCCAAGCCUGGUAGGUGGCUCAGAUUGUGACCAUCAGCUUAGAGAAGUUGCAGUAAAGAGAGAUUUUCCCCUCCCAUUCCCACGCUCCCCCUUCUCCACAGACACCGGACAGGUAACCCAGCAAGCCGGGCGAUGGUGCACUGGCUUCCCCGGAGCCCCAGAAAGAUCAGCCUGGCUCCCGCAUUCCCAGCACUGCUGAGCCGGAGCAGUCACUGAACCACCACCAGGAGCAGCAGCAGCAACAACCCCCACCGGAGCAGUGUGGGAGCUAUUGCGCAAUUCUGCCCAGAUUUGCUUCCUCCCUCCUUCCCAACCGUCAAUGCUGCUCAACUCACGAGGAAACAGAAAGCUGAUUCAUGGAUUCCAGACCCAGCUUCCUCUGUGCUGCUGUCCAUAAGAAGAUCAUGGUGCUGCUGCUGCUUGAGACUUUGCUGUAAAUCCACUCACUCCUCCUCCCCAAACCCUGAGCGCGCUCUCUCUCGCUCUCGGAAGUGUGGUUACUGCUUGGGGAGCAGCCGAGCCUGGCGCAAAAGGGGAAACGUUGAUGCAUCGCUGUGGAGAUUCAUUGUGUGACUUUCUGGGUAUUUACUGAGUUUCAAACCGAGAUGCAGCUCUUGAAAGCUUUAUGGGCAUUAGCAGGAGCAGCUAUCUGCUGUUUUCUUAUAUUUGUCAUCCACUCACAGUUCCUUAAAGAAGGUCAACUGGCUGCAGGUACAUGUGAGAUUGUUACUUUGGACAAAGAUAGCAGCCAGCCCCGAAGGACUAUAGCCCGACAAACAGCUCGCUGUGCAUGUAAAAAAGGACAGAUUGCCGGUACAACAAGAGCAAGGCCAGCCUGCGUGGAUGCACGAAUUAUCAAAACAAAACAGUGGUGUGAAAUGCUUCCAUGUUUAGAAGGAGAAGGCUGUGAUUUGCUAAUCAAUAAAUCAGGCUGGACCUGUACACAACCAGGUGGGCGAAUAAAGACAACCACGAAAUCUGAUCACCACAGAACUCCUUGCCAAAAUUCAACAGAAACCAGGGGGUAUUGGGGAUCUUGCCAAAGAAUUUAGAUCCAAUAUGCUGCACAAUACACAGGGCUCUGCCUCUGAUAGACAGCGACACACUGCCUGUCUGAGGCCAUGUGGUUUGGAGAUCUGAUCACUAGUCCGAAAAGAAAAGGCUGUUUUCAAGAUUUCUGGGGUGUUUUUUCCUGGAAAAGGUCUCCUGACAAAUGCAGCAGCAAAGAAUUCUCGUAUGAGUGGUCUAGGUUCUGUGUGAGCUACUUACCUUAGUCAAAUUUCACUGCUGUGGAUCAUCAUCCAUUAUAUGUCAUCAAUUCAACUGUCUGUUUCUCUAUAUCUCAUAAAAGACAGCAUAAUUUCUCUACAUUAUGAGCUAAAAGUCUGUUCUACCAUUCUAAGGAGCACUGGACUAAGGAAUAUAGAUAUAAGAGAUAUGCUUGGGCAUUAGCAAUACAAAAAGUUCAUGGUUAACGUUUCAUCUGCGUUAUACACCACUGCUGGACUCGAUGUUACCUACAUGUUUUGAUCUGAAGGGUCUACUGCACUGAAGAGUAUUCAUCCCAAUCAGCCUUAGAGAAGACUGUUUUGUCUAUGGGAGGACACUGAGGUGCAAAAGAGAAUCUCUUCUUGUGCCCUGGACUGUCUGAAUUGCUUUUAUUUUCUUAUUCUUUCAGUAUAUACAAUAGACCAAAGAGCAAAAUCUAUUUUAAAGUGGACACAAUCUUGCUGUUAAGAGAGCUAUCUGGGUUAAAUUGUAGGGUGGUCUCCACAAAGACAUGAUUUCAACUCUCACAAAGCUGAGAUGUUCCUGUACAGCAGAAGUCUUUAUGGAACACUGCAGUAAAAACUAAACUAGAAAAUUACUCUUGAAAACCACAUUAUAAACAAUGAAAUGGAGCAUGGAGAGAAAACAGCGUAUGUUUGAAAAACUACAAACUGUCUACAUGGCACCUUUAUUCCUCUGUACUUAGAUUGACUUUCUCGUACUAAAAUCAUUUUCAGUUUUAACCAGUUAAACAUGCCUCUUCUACAGUUCCAUUUUUUGAUAGUUAAAAUUGGAUAAUACAGUAUUUGCAAAGAGCAUGUUUGGUCAUCUGUGGCCUAUGUCUCAUCUGAUACACCAUUUAGAACCAGAAAGCAAAUUAAAGGGAAAAAAAGUAACACUUGUUUGAAAGAGAUCAUUAAAUGUAUUUUGAAAAGCCUAAAGUUAUAUAUUUAACAGUUUUUAUAUGUUGUAUAUUUGUAGAAAAUCCUAUUUAACAAUUAACGUGAUAACUCUGACGGUCAUGACAAAUGGUUCAGAGUUAAGUUGUGUUUUAUUACUUCAGUUGUCUCUGAAGUGACAGGUGUCAUUUGCUUUCUUCCAUUAGGAUAUUCUGGAUGUAAAGCAUGACAAGAGAGGACUCUGUAGAAAAAGCAAAGAAUAAUGUUGUUUCUAUUACAUAAAUGCAUUCAACCAUUGCACUGUUGGAAGGCAUUUUUUUUUUGUCUUUAUGUACUGGUAAAAAUAGAGUGUAAAAUAUUUUAAUCAUGGCUUUCCAUACCGAGGUUUCUUUUUUCUCUCUCUCUCUCCUUCUCCCCACCCUCCACUACAUAAUACAGUAUAAAGGUCAAUUUGCGGCCUGUUCCUUGACCCAGAUUCAAUGUUUUACUUCAUCGUUAAAAAACCCUCUUUUUUGGCAUGAUCAGGUAGUGAAAAGUUAAUGCAAAGACAGCAUAAAAAAGAGGGGAAAUAAAGAUAAAAAGAUCCCUCACUCCCUAUUACUGUACCUUUCUAUAUAUGUCUGGUACAUAUUGAUAUGAUGAAAUCAACAAAUGAGCUUAACUUCUUCCUGGCAAAUGUAUUCCAGUUUUAACUAUUUCUCCAAGUUUCCACUGUAGUAUACUACCUAAUACUCCAAUUAACUUUUAGUACUAUGCUAGUUCUAUGCUACUGAAGAAAAAUAUAUAGAGACUGUUCAAGCAACCAUAGAUAAAAAAAUACAAAAACAAAAGGUUAUUUUUUUUGGUAAGGCCUGUUCCACUAUUCAGGCUUAUUUAAUACGCAGGUUGCAGAAACCAUGAAUUAUAGGUGACUGUGUCUUUUGAGUAAAAUAAACAUAUAAGAAUUUCUUAUUUAAUCUUAAGGUUUUCGACCAGUAUCAAAGUAGCAAUUCAAUGCCAGUCACUUGAAGAGUGUUAUGAACUGACUGCACUAUAAAUGACCAAUGUCUGGUUUAAAAUGUCAUGCAAUAAACGAUGGUAAAUACAUUUACUGUACUACUAGAACUCAAGAGCCAGAUCCCUCACUCUACCAAUUUUCUUUUUUGUUUCAGUUUAUUUUUAAAGGGAGUGUAGUAGCCUUAUUUAGUAAACACAGAAAAACUAAAGAUGUUACAUUUUUGUUGCUUUACAGUACUCAGUUUUGUGUUGGUUCAGCUAAAUUAUGGAAAUAAAGAAAAUCCUUUUAUAAGUGAGACUUUUGUUCCCUGAUCAUGAUGUCACACAGAGAAUUUCAGUAGAGGGCGCUUGCGGGUAGGGGAACAGGGAAGUAGAUUCUCACAAUGAAAUAGGUGAAAAUAUUCAGUAUUGGAAAUUGAAAUAAUACCCUACAUUUGUAAAAUUGCUAACAGUUUUGGGCGCUGACAUUUUUGGGUGCCCAGUAUGAGACAAGCGCCGAGUGCCCAUUCUCUGGAAAUUAGGCCCCUUUAUCAUAUCUCAGAUUGGACACUCAAAAUCAGUAGUCACUUUUGAAAAUUUCAUCUAAUAUCUCUAUGUUUCAUUACUUUGAAUGCUCAACAAAAGAGAAAUAUGUCCUUGUUUUUAAGGUCUGCUCAGAAGCAACAAAGCACGAAAAGUUUAGAUUAUUGGUCGGAGACAAGUGUACAUUCUAGCUAGAAAUGGGGAUGAGCCUAGUUUGUGUGACAGAAAUCUCAAGUCACUUCAGAAGAGGACUUUUCAGAAUGUACAUUUUCAAAUGAAUGAAAUAUACUGACUGUUUUUGUAAAUAUAAAUUAGUGUCCUCAAUGCUAUGCUGAAACCUUUAUCUUUCAGUGACGUUACACUUUUACAAUGUUGUGGGCUUCAAACCUUACAGAACUUGAUUUCACAAAGAAUUCUGAUUGGUUUAUGUGGGUAUUUUAUGUGCCUCUUCCACAAAGAAAUGUAAGGCUUAGGAGAGGCAUAUCUGAUUUGAAUGCUGUUAAAUAUCCUCCUUUUCUCAGUUUUCAAAUGGGUAACUUUCCAAAACACACAGAAAGGAUGAUAAAAUAUGAAAAGGGUAGAGUUAGAGAAAAAGGUCACCCAAAACAAAAACAAAAAUACAGAAAAAUACAGAAGACCUUUCGUAUAAUUUUCAGAAAAACUGCUGCUAUAGCUUUCUGUCAGCCCGUGCAGGGACAGAUCCAACUAAUGCUUCAGACAACUGAGAUUUCACAAGACCAUUAUUGAAGUAAAUAUUAACACACUGUAGCAAUCCACAUAGCAAUUUCUCUGAUUUCAUAAUUACAUUUCUAACAUGCUCUUUUAUUGUGAACAAAUCUUUUUCUUGCUGUAUAGGUUUUAUGCACACAAUGUUCUUUGGUCAGCUGCUUGUUUACUGAAAGUGUACCCACAUGUUUUUGUGUAAAUCUUUAACCCUCACAUUUUCUAUGUAAUAUGGCCUAGUAAUCAUCAUCUUGAGUAUUAAUUAGAGUUCCAUAAGAAAAUAAAGA
Molecule: RNA transcript, 5207 nt
Organism: Gopherus flavomarginatus (Mexican gopher tortoise)
Lineage: Eukaryota; Metazoa; Chordata; Testudines; Testudinidae
Gene: TAFA5
Gene name: TAFA chemokine like family member 5
Exons: 6
Source: RefSeq, a predicted model, not a curated record